GCACCACAAGAACGCGUGGAGCAUGUGGCUUAAUUUGACUCAACGCGGGAAAUCUUACCGGGUCCGGACACACUGAGGAUUGACAGGCAAUAUCUUGGCUGUUUAAUAACCGUUUAUUAAUAAUAAACGGUUUAUUAAACAGAUCGAGUGUUAAAUAUGCUAGUCCUUUCAUGAUUAUGUGAUAGGUGGUGCAUGGCCGUUCUUAGUUCGUGGAGUGAUCUGUCUGCUUAAUUGCGUUUCACUAAGGGCCCAUAAAUUCAAGGUAUGUUAGCAAUCGUCGCUCUAUGGACCCCUUAUUUCAGUUUAUUAAUAAACUGUUAUAAGCGCACGUCUUGUUUAAAGAGUUUAAGACACUGCGCAUGCUGUUGGGCUCUGAAAGCAACGAACGUGACCGCAACGUCUUGUUGCCUUAAUCAAGUCGGCUGUUUAAUCUGUUUAAUUAAACAGACAGACAGCAGUCAUUAUAUGGCUUAUCCGAGGCUAUUUAAAACUAGACGAACCGCUGUUUCUUUUCUUAAACCAGAGGAAGGUUGCGGCAAUAACAGGUCUGUGAUG
This 555-nucleotide ribosomal RNA is filed under the name Neogloboquadrina pachyderma. RNAcentral describes it as "SSU rRNA". It matches the Rfam family "Eukaryotic small subunit ribosomal RNA", at positions 1164 to 1469 of the family's 1831-position model. The record is from RNAcentral. Lineage: Eukaryota; Foraminifera; Rotaliida; Globorotaliidae.